Molecule: ribosomal RNA, 402 nt
Filed under: uncultured bacterium
Lineage: Bacteria
Description: bacterial SSU rRNA
Rfam family: Bacterial small subunit ribosomal RNA
Source: RNAcentral
UGGGGAAUCUUGCGCAAUGGGGGAAACCCUGAUGCAGCGACGCCGCGUGAGCGAUGAAGCCCUUCGGGGUGUAAAGCUCUUUCGGCAGGGAAGAUGAUGACGGUACCUGCAGAAGCAGCUGCGGCUAACUACGUGCCAGCAGCCGCGGUAAUACGUAGGCAGCAAGCGUUGUUCGGAGUUACUGGGCGUAAAGGGUGUGUAGGCGGUUCUUUAAGUUUGGUGUGAAAUCUCCCGGCUUAACUGGGAGGGUGCGCCGACGACCGGGAAGCUGGAGUGUGGGAAAGGCAGGCGGAAUUCCUGGUGUAGCGGUGAAAUGCGUAGAUAUCAGGAGGAACACCGGCGGUGUAGACGGCUUGCUAGACCAUAACUGACGCUGAGGCACGAAAGCGUGGGUAGCAAACA